UGGAGCCAGUCUUCCCAAGGUGAAAUCCUAACUUUGCCACUUACUAGCCAUGUGAACUUGGGCAAGUGACCUAAUCCUCUGCAUUUCAUCUCUAAAUUGGGGAGAAUAGAAGCAUCUACUUCAUGUAGUAGCCAGGAUUAGAAGAGGAACCCUGGAAUCACAGACUGUCAUGACUUGUCUAAUGUGCUUUCUGGCACAUGCUUUUUACAUGCUGCACCAAUACUGGGUCUAGCUGCAGCUUGGCUGGGUCGCAGAGGCUGAAGAGGGAGCUAAGCCUGGAGAGCUGGGUUAAGUCAGACAGACCCAAAAUCUCUUACACUGAGUCUCAACUUAUUGUCCCUUGUGACUCCAAGGUCAACUUCCCUUCCCUGUUGGCUGAGGAUCCAGGUUCUUGGAGCCCCACUGUAGAAAGACUGCUGAUAUCCCAGAAUUCCAAGGUGGAUGUGCAGAUGAGAUUUCCAGUGACACCCAGCAGACUUCACGCAGAAGGUGGCAUAGUGUAGAGACGGGGCAUUCAUGCUUUACCCUUAGAGAGGCGUUGCUUUGAAUCUGCAUCUGCCCCUUCUUUUGCCUUUGCCCCUACAGAUUCAGGACCACGGCCAGCACCCACACUGCCUUCCGUAAACACUGAGCUAAAUAAACCUAGAGCCUUGGUGAUGAGAUCAGCACUGCCUUUGUAAGUUGGUUUUCUCAACAAACAUCAACUGAACAUCUACUAAACGUAAGAGCACUCUGGCUGUCAACUGAAAACAGCAGCAGCAGCAGCAGCAGCAGCAACACCACCACCAACAACAACGACAACUGUUGCAUAUAUAACUGAAGAUCCACAGAGUCCCUCUUUCCAGUGUUAGUUGCUACAAGGAGUGAGAGAAUGAAGAUCUGACCUCAAGGAAUACAAGAGUUUUGUUCAAAGUUCCAAGACUAAGCUAUUAGAAGGGAGGGAGGGCCUGGUGCCAUGUCAUCUCUGACCAAGAGAAUUGGUAGAAUAGAAAUAAUCUAUUUCUCACGUGGUCUAGGACUUGACAAUUUACAUAGCAGUUUUAUAUCCUCUACUUCAUUUGACAUGCUCCCAUCACCCUGUGAAGCAUGUGUCAUUGUUACCACUCACUUUCCAGAUAAGGAGAGAUGGGGAGGCUCAGGGAGGUGAAUGGAUUUGCCUGAGGCCACUGGUCAGUGACUGAGCUGGGAUAGGAAUUACUUUCUCUGGUCUCUUGAUCUCACCUCUUUGUCUCACUCUUUCUGCUGCAUCUCAGUUGCUUCUGCGUCUGGCCAGACCCAAAAACAAAUCAUGUAAUUGAGUUGGAAUGUGGGUGCUGGGGCCCGGGAGACAAUGUUUUCUGCUUUUCAAUCUGUUCUUAAUUUAUUAAAGUGAUGAAAUAAGGAAGAGGCCCAGAAGGGUGGAUGUUUUCCAUCAGUGAGUCAGGGGAACAUGCAGAGGCAGAAGGUCAGGAGGAAGCUGCUGUUGCUCCAGCAGCUUCACCCACUCUGGCCAAGUCCCCACAGAUGUGCUGGUGGGGGAGACCUUCUUAGAGCUGCCCCAAGAGUAAAAUAAACCAGAAAAGAGCAAGCCCUACUGGAGACUCUCUCCCUCCCCACAAUGUUAUCUCUGACUACCCGAGCACCUUCCCUCUUAUCUGACAAAUGUCCAUUGUCUAAGGGAGAGACCGAGUGAAGGCAGGAGGAGGCCUAAUUCAGCCUGAGGAGGGUCAGGAAAGGCUUUCUAGAGAAGGUGACACUGGCACCUUAGACUUGAAAGCUGAAAAGAAGUGAUCUGGGAAAGGGGGAUGAGGAGGAGAAAGUGUUUUCCAGGUGGAGGAAAUAGCAGGUGGGAGGUUUGGAGAUAAGAGAGGGAAUGGCUGGAGCCAUCAGGGUGGAGAGAUGAGGCUGGACCGGCAGAGGGGUUGGCAGUGCUGGUAUCCAGAGGGCCUUCCAGGUCAGGUUGUUAUAUCUCCUCUGAGGAAGAGUCCUGAUUGUUAGCUCAAUUUAUGUGGUUAGGCAUAGAGAAUGGAUUGCAGGAGACAGUGGCAACCCAAGGCAAGUAAUAAAAAGGCUAGAGAGUUGGUGGGGCCUGAGUAGGGGGCAGUGGGAAUAGGGAUCAAGAGACAGAGAGGUGGAGGGACGGAUGGAAUGGAAUCUUUUUUUUUUUUUUGAGACAAUGUCUCACUCUGUCACCCAGGCUGGAGUGCCGUGAUUGCAUCACAGCACUGCAGCCUUGAUCUCCUGGGCUAAAGCAAUCCUCCCACUUCAGCCUCCUGAACAGCUGGGACUUCAGGCACAUGCCACCAUGCCCAUAUGAUAAUUUUAAUUUUUUUUUUCAUUAGAGAUGGAGUCUUGCUAUGUUGCCCUGGCUGGUUUCAAACUCCUGAGCUCAAGCAAUCCUCCUACCUCAGCCUCCCAAAGUGUUGGGAUUACAGACGUGAGCCACCACAUCCAGACUGGAAUAGAAUCUUAUUAGACUAAUGACCUUCUAGUGCAUGAUGACUGGAUGGUGGGUGGAGGAAGGAAGAGGAAGAAGCUGGCUUGGCCCAGGCCUUUGUGACUUGGCCCAGGUGGCCACUACAGACAGCUGUCUGUGUACAGUGUACAGAGGGCAAUGUUCUUGAAUUGCUGUUCAAACCCAGACUGUUUGCUUGUCAUCUGUACUAGUCAGGUUCUCCAGUGAAUCCAGAACCAGUGAAAUACACAUGCACACAUAUACACACACAAAAUAAGGAGUCAUCAUGCAGUUAUGGAAACUGAGAAGUCCCAUGAUCUGUCUCUGCAAACUGAAGACUCAAGAAUGCCAGUGGUGUGAUUCUGGUCCAAGCCCAAAGGCCUGAGAAUGAGGGGAGCCAUUAUGUAUAUCUCAGUCCAAAGGCAGGAGAUGACUGAUGUCCUAGCACAGAUAUGCAGGCAGGAAGGGGAUGAAUCUUCCCUUUUUCUGCUUUUCAUUCUAUUUAGGCUCUCAGUGGAUCGGAUGAGGCCCACCCACAUUGAUGAGAGCAGUCUACUUCACUGAGUCUAAUGAUGCAAAUGCUAAUCUCACCCAAAAACAUUCUCACAGAAAUGCCUAGAAAUAAUAUUUAAUCUGGGCACCUUUGGCCCAGUCAAGCUGAUAUAUAAAAUUAACCAUCAUACCAUCUAUAAGGCAAAAACUUUUCUGUGCCAGGCUCUGUGCUGGGCGUUGGGCAUGCAGUGAUGAUUCAGAACCAGACUUUGUCUUCCAAGUUGGGAGACAGGCACAUAGCAGUGAUGACAACAUGGUGUGCUGCGGCUGAGACAGAGAAGUUUCAGGAUCCCAGAAAGGGAACCUAAAGGAGGGCAGGGAGGCUUCCUGGAACAGGUGACUCCUGAACCAGUUCUUGAAGCCCAAUAGGAGUUAGCUGGGUGAUUGAGGGAGAAUAUAAUAUUCUGAGGACAGAAAAGAAGUUGUGAAAGAGAAUGGUAUGAUCAGCAGGAGGUAUAUAGGUGGAGCCAGGUGUGGGGAGAGGGAGACAGGUGGGGCUGGGCUUUCCUGGCCUGGUUCUUUGUGUACUCUAUUCUUUCAACUUAAGAUGUUUUUCUCUUUGGCUCACAUUACACUACCCUUUAAGGUCUACUUUAAAUUCAAACUUCUCGAAGCCUUCCGUAAUCCUCUCCCUUGCCAAAAAUAAUUUAUUGAGGACCUACUAAGUGCUCUUUAUAUCUUUCAUUUUAUUAAUUCAUUAAGGCAUCCCUGUGAGGUCAGCUGUUCAGUUCAGCUCAGCAUACCUCUGGUCCCUGCUAUGUGCCAUGCCCUAAAAAUAUGGAGAUAAAUCAGAUAUUAUAGCUCACAUUCUAGUGGAGAAGACACACCUAUUAACAGAUAUUUUUAAUACAAAUAAUAUUGGGUGCUAUUAUCUCAAUUUUGCAAAGGAGAAACUCGGACAUUUACUGGUUAACCGAUUUUGCUCAGGGUCAUAUGAGUAGUAAGUGGAACCCUGCUCUAGGUAGAGUUGAGGUCAGUGCUCUGACCUCUGCUCCAGUCAACUCCCAUGGCACUUAUCAUGAUCUGUCUGGGAAGGAUGUAUAAAUAAGGAGAUGCUGAUAUUUGACUUACCCUGGGACUUGGUUUUGAGCUCAGUGAAAGCAGGAUCCAGUAUUGUGAAGUGGUUCUGCAGAGACAGAGCUUGAGAAGAGGGUGGGACUAACAUUUAGAAAGUGUCUACCACGUGUCCGCCUGUUCUGUUGCCAGUCCCACUUCCCACCUUUGUGCCCCUUCCUCUAAAUAGCUUCCCACAUCCUCCUACUAUCAUCUGCCCUGGCUCUUUUCUCUUCUCUUGGUCAUUGCCUGUUAACUUGUUUGUCUUCCCCACUUGAUCAGGUUGGAAUCUUCAGAGCCCAUCAUAGUGUGUGGACUGUAGUCAGAGUUCAGUAAUCCUGAAUUGGAUUGACAGAAUUCUUACUGGCCAUGCUCUGACAGAGAGUCGGCUUGUGUCUCUGCCAGUACCUGUGGGUGUUGAGUCUGUGGGUUAUCUGUGUGGGCUCACCACAGUUUGCAUGGUGUGUGUAGCUCCUGUUUGGGCCUUGCAUUGACUUCCUGCGUGUUCCCUAUAAGGGUAUUCCCACCCCCUUCUGAGCCCUAUGCCUCCUCCCCUCAUUAGUAUCUUACCCUGACCAGCCCUAAAUGUCCCUCUCUGUCAGAAAUAUAUUUCAGGGUAACUUGUGUCUCCUAGCCAUGAUUAAAAACUUCUGAACACCCUUGGGUGUGGAGCCUGGUCUCUUGGUGCAUAUCAAGUGCCUGCAUUUGCCAGCUGAGCUCCCCAGCUCUGUAUCUGCUGACAAUGAGAUCAGGCCCAGCUUGGUUUUAAAGGUGAGUGGGCAGUAAAUGAUAAAACUACACUCAACCUCUUGCACAGUCCACAGCUCUGAAAGCACUCCAGCAGGUUUACAACUUCUCUAAGGGGCUGAACUUUUGCGGGGAGGGUUGGAAAGGUAUGGAUUUAGAAAUUGUUGUCUUCAGACGGUUUGUGUUUCUGGGUGUUUAAGAAAGUCUCCCCCCGCACCCCAAGCUGAUCGUUGUGUUUUAAUGACGCAAAAUCAUGAAUAUUAAACCAAUGGAAAGUUGACAGUAUUUAAAUGAGCAUCAUUAAGAGACACAUAAAUUAACAGGGUUUUUAGUUCUUGUGGAACUGCCGUUUCAAUGUUAAUUAAACAACCGGAGUGCUCGGGCGCUUUUGCAGCAAACUGUCCCCAAAGUGUGCUGCAGAAUAUCAUUAUGGGUGGCUGCCUUGCUGUUUAAUUAUUUCCAAGUUGAUUUUUUUUCCAUUGCUGAAGUAGUUUUAUGCUUGUCUUGCAUUUGGAAAAGGUGAUGGAGCUGAACCUCUAAGGAAACUGUCAGUGUGAUCUCUGUUGGCCCUAUGGUGAAGACCUGAGCUGAGCAAUGCUUGUCCCUUCAUGCCAGCCUUCUGUGAAGGAAGCCCAGGUGCCCCUUUGGAUCUCCUGAUGGGCUGGUCCCUGACUAUUAACCCGGGGUGUCUAGGAGGUACCUGGCUCCUUAGUUGCUGACCAUCUUACUCUUAGAAAGUUGGGGGUCUGAAUUUGGAUGGAGCCCUUAGAUGCAGAAGGAAAGGCAGAGAGUGUCAGAUUAGGGGAAGGGGUAGCAAAGGCUUCCAUGAUUAUACUUGAGGCAGUGUGGAGUGGAGGAGCCAGGAGCCCUGGGAUCUGCUCUUGAUUCUAUUUGGUCUGAGUUAAGUGACCUUGAGGCAUUCCCUCCACCUCUCUGGCAUCAGUCUCUUCAACUAUAAAAUGACAGGGCUAGAUUAGAUCAUGCAUUCUCAAAGCAGGUGAUGUUGCCCUCAAGAGGGUAAAAAGUGGUUCUUGGGAGGGUGGAAAGAGUGUACUCUUAUUUUAAUGUGUAAAACAAUAAAUGUGUAUUACAUAAACAGGUACAUAGUAUAUUUGUGGUGUUAAGAAAAGACUGAGAAAUACUGGACUGGAUGAACUCUAGGAGCUUCAUCUUUAAAGAAAAGAAAGUCUCCUGUGAGAUGGAUCCCCAGAUGGUCACAUUCCCUGGAAUAUGGAAAUGGUCUUUAUCGUUACCUGUGUGAACUUGACUGGGCUCUUAUCUCCUGGGCCUCAAGGGCCUAGUGUGUCAAAUGAGGCCAUUCAUCUCUUACCAGUCCAAAGGUGCGGGGCUGGACUAAAGGAACUUUAGAAGUCAGUGAAGCAGCCUGGUGGAGAAGGAUGCAGUCCUGGGUCCCAGUGUGUGGCUUUUGAAACC
Molecule: long non-coding RNA, 6220 nt
Filed under: Homo sapiens (human)
Lineage: Eukaryota; Metazoa; Chordata; Mammalia; Primates; Hominidae
Description: HSALNT0292080
Source: RNAcentral